UGCAUUCACUACUGUAAGUCGCUCUGGAUAAGAGCGUCUGCUAAAUGACCGUAA
This is a non-coding RNA of Salmo salar (Atlantic salmon), 54 nucleotides long. NCBI's taxonomy places the organism in Eukaryota, Metazoa, Chordata, Actinopteri, Salmoniformes, Salmonidae. The record is from Rfam.